Molecule: unclassified non-coding RNA, 259 nt
Filed under: Hevea brasiliensis (rubber tree)
Lineage: Eukaryota; Viridiplantae; Streptophyta; Magnoliopsida; Malpighiales; Euphorbiaceae
Source: RNAcentral
UUUGGGAAAAGAGGAUGUCCAUUUGAAUUGGAAGAGAUUGGAAGAAGUAUUGCAGAAAAAUGCCAAGGACUACCUCUAGCAAUUGUUGUGGUUGCAGGGCAUCUCUCGAAAAUGAGCAAGACUACUGAUUGCUGGAACAAUGUUGCAGAAAGUGUGGAUUCCGUUGUGAAUCGUGAGCCAGGGCAGUGUUUAGACAUACUUGCUCUAAGUUACAGCCACUUGCCUCAACAUCUAAAAGCUUGCUUCUUGUACAUGGGAG